Molecule: unclassified non-coding RNA, 294 nt
Filed under: uncultured Ascomycota
Lineage: Eukaryota; Fungi; Ascomycota
Description: sequence contains ITS1
Source: RNAcentral
UAGGACUACCGGGGUUUCUAAUCCUGUUCGAUACCCGCGCUUUCGUGCCUCAGCGUCAGUGACCGGCCGGUACGCUGCCUUCGCAAUCGGGGUUCUGCGUGAUAUCUAUGCAUUUCACCGCUACACCACGCAUUCCGCGUACUUCUCCGGUACUCAAGGCCCCCGGUUCCGACGGCUCGGCGGGGUUGAGCCCCGCAAUUUUACCGCCGGCCUGAAGGCCCGCCUACGCACCCUUUAAACCCAAUAAAUCCGGAUAACGCUCGCAUCCUCCGUAUUACCGCGGCUGCUGGCACC